Molecule: long non-coding RNA, 33594 nt
Filed under: Setaria viridis
Lineage: Eukaryota; Viridiplantae; Streptophyta; Magnoliopsida; Poales; Poaceae
Description: long non-coding RNA (SVIR_LNC000148)
Source: RNAcentral
UUUUUUUUUUGUGUGUGCGCGCUCGCGUGCGUGCAUGCAUGCGCAGUAGUCCCGGGUAAUUCGAAGGAUGCAUCCAAUCCGAAGCGUGAGUAACUCAAACUUAGCAAAUCGUUUGGUUUGGGAUGAUUAUAAAAUUCAAAUAUACGAAAAAAUAAGUUAUUGUUAUAAUACAUUUGAUGAUAAAAUAAGUUAUAAACAAAAUAAAUGAUAUAUGCAUAAUUUUUUGAAGAAAAUGAAUGGUCAUGAUGAUAAAAAUCUACAACGACGAAUAUUUUGAUACAAAUGUAGUAUAUAUAACGGUCGCACACUACUUAAAUCUAGAGUUACCUUGACAGCCCAAAACCACUCACGGAUACAGGUGCUAAACCACUAAGGUGAUGGUCCUCGGCAAGCAAACCGUCAAGUAGAAUCUGUAAAAGUAGGAUUAGAGUGUUAAAAAAACACGAUUUGCUUGGUGGCUGACCGUCAAACAUUAUUUACUUUGACUGUUGUUGGCCGUCAAGCCAACUAGAGCAAUGUUAAAAUUUCAACUGCACCUAGAACAUGUUCCAACUGCUAAGUAAUUAAAUUUCCACUCCCUCUGAUAAUUCAUAAAUGCAUAUAAUUUCCACUCCCUCUUAUAAGAAAACCGCUAUAUUUUUUUUUAAAAAAGAAGAAGACAAAAAGAGUACAUACCGAUAAUUCAUAAAUGAAUAUAUAGCUAGUACAGUUUUAUAUUAAUUUGUGUGUGAUCCGUGGGAUUAUUAUAGCUGUAUAGGUGUUUGAGGAAUCCGGAUUUUAGUCUACGGGCAAAAUGAACAAUUGAUGAAUUAAGAUCUCUGGUUCCGUCGUGGUGAGUUGAAACUACUCCCUCCAUAUUUAUUUAUAAGACGUACAUGUAUAUUAAAAUUUAAAGGUUGCAAUAUUUGUCCAAUAAUUUAACUAUUUAUUUUUAUUUUUAUAAUGUAAAUUUUAUAUGGUUGAAUUCGUAAUCAAAUAUAGUUUAUAAUGAUCAUAAAUUUAUAACCAUAAAUAAUAUGAUAUAAGAAAUGAUUAUAAGAUAAAUGAAUGUUUAAAGAGUUAUUUGGAAGACCGGCCAAAUCCUAGCAUGACUUAUAAACAUUAUAAACAUAGACAAGGGAGUAACAAACUAGCAGCAGAUUGGCAUGCGUGUAUUUCUGUUCCGCUAGAGCCUUUUCUUUUCUUUCGGUGUGCAGCGUUUAGCCGCAUUCACGUCCCUGCCUCAAGUCUGUGCCAUUUCUGAAUUGCUGCAGGAAUGUGGUGCUUCUGAAUUUCUGAACUCCUGUUCCAUCUGCUGCACAACUGCAAUCCCAACACAUCAUUGUAUGUUUUUACCCAGUAACUCAUCGCUGUUGCAGGUGUUGCACGUCUGGGCUCUUGGUUUUUGCGGCUCUCUGUCGGUGUACUGCACAUGCCGCAAGAGAAAAAUAAAUUACGGGUGUUCUGUUGUUCCCACGGUAUAGUCGGACCACCCUAUCCCCAGUGCAGAUUCACGGCACGUGCUUCACACAAACAAUGCGACAUUAGAGCAUCUUCAUCCUCAGCGGAUUAGUCAUCUUCCAUCACUAAUAUAUUUUCUUUCUCCCUUAAUGAUAACAUUUUUUUUUAACUAGUACUGCAUCAUAUUACUAAAACACCUCAUGCACAUGAAUAUGGCAGAUGAAUGAAUCCCCUUCAUUUGGGUAAGAGGGAUGUGUGUUUUGGUGAUGACUAAAUUUUUUUAUAAUAGAAAUCAAAUUGAUAAUCUAUCAGAGUACCUCUUAUAAAUUUUUAAUGUAGAAGGAUGAAUAAUCUGCUGAAGAUGCUUGUGCCAAACAAAGCAUUCCCUCUCCUUUCGAACAAAAUCUCCCGAAAUUACAUCAAAUCGGCCGUCGCCAAUCACUCGCGCCGAAACUCCCACGCCACGCAUGAGAGACCGCAAGGCUCCAAGCGAGCAUAUCUGCCGUCCCCAUCGGCAGAACACCCAUGACCUGCACAUCUUAUCUAACCCUGUCAGCUAGUACCACCCCACUAGCACUAACAGAGGAGAGGGAUUGCAUUGCAUGGUGCGCACCGGGGACACUUGGACCCCUAAACCAUCCUCCGUUCCCUCCGGAUAAUGCAACCACCGCGCGUUGAUCCUACUGCGUGAGAAGCCGCAAGGACCUCACGGAUGGUGGAUGAAAAAGGAUGGCCUCUCUGGCUCUCUCUCUCUCUCUCUACUCACAGGAACAGAGUGCCUCUGCGUCUCUCAUCCACUAGCCUCUCUCUCUCUUUAAUUGGACUCUUUUCUCCGCAAGAAAAAAAAAUAGUUUGAUUCUUUGAAAAAAUGUCAUGUAAGUUUUUGCUAGAUUUUGGAGCUGCAGAUCUAGUAUCUCAUUGGGGAAAUAUCUCUUUUCUAGGGCUGUUUGGCCUCAGGGUGAGGGGGUGUACGGUUCGAGGACUAAAGUUUAGUCCCUAUCAUAUCAAAUGUUUAUAUACUAAUUAUGAGUACUAAAUAUAGAUUAAUUAUAAAACCAAUUGCAUAAAUGAAAGUUAAUUCGCGAGAUGAAUCUAUUAAGCCUAAUUAGUUCAUGAUUUUACUAUGUGAUGCUACAGUAAAUAUGUGCUAAUCAUGGAUUAAUUAGGCUUAAUAGAUUCGUCUCGCGAAUUAGCCACAACUUAUGCAAUUAGUUUUAUAGUUAGUUCACGUUUAAUUCUUCUAAUUGGUAUUUAAACAUCCGACUAAAAAAUAAUUUUUUAUGGAUCCAAACACUGAUGGUAUGGCAACAUCAAACAGGAUUCAUUUCCUGAUACAUGAACAAGUGGUCACGCAUUUUUAUUGUAUUCUGGUUAUUUCUGCGUGUUUUUAAAUUAAACUGACAUGACGUAUCAUUGGUUUGUAUAACCAGCAAAUGGAAGGCGCAGAUUCUAACAGCGAAACAACAGCAGCCACGGAGCCUUAGAUUUUAACAGCAGUAAUAAAAGAACAAAUUUGUACAUCACAUUUGUUACGCGGCAGCCCACAGGAGAAUCAUGCAUGCUAAGUUCUUUUCUUUAAAAUAAAAUCAAAUGACUAGUUGAGAUCAAUGUGCCUGGUACAACCAUCACUAGUUAAGCAUAACCCUAAUCUAGGUUCACACUCCAGAUUUAGAUUCGGAUGCUACAGCUAUGCUAAUUAAUAAUCCCAACUCUGGUCUAUAACAUAUAAACUUCCAAGACACCAAAGUAUGUUUAGACUACCUGACGCCUGUUGGUAAUGUCGAGGCCCCAGGAGAACUACCUGACACCCUGGCCUGACAGUAUGUUAUGUAAGCCGGCACUUGUCUGUUUUUUGUUUCUUUUUUUCUUGGUUCUCUAUACAGUUAUUUGCUAUAUAAAACCUAUGGGCAAUGCCCAGAUAAAAGCGGCAUGCUACGCUUUUUCCUUGAGCUCGGCAGAUGGCACGAGCACCACAGCUUGGUUUUUCAUGUCACUCCCACCAUUAGCGCACCCCUCUGCUCCUAAUGACAGCAUGUUCUUCUUCAGCCUCUGCAGCCUACACUCGAGUCCACACAUCUCAUCGAUCACAUCCAGGAAAGGCUGAUAAUCCGAGGCCCCAGUAUCCACCAAAGGAGCAGCUUGCUCUUCAGCGCGGGCACCAGUAUCCAUCUGAGAAGCAGCUUCGUCUUCAGGGCAGGCAUCAGUAUCCAUCUGAGAAGCAGCUUGCUCUUCAGCACUGACUUCAUUGUUUGUUGGAUGGCUCAAAUCUGUCUGCAAACAAGACUUGCUUGUAGGUGACGUACUCUCCUGCAAACAUGUUGAGGAAACACAAUCAAUGCAAUGAAUCUGACAGAAGUAGAUCCUUUUUCAAGGCCCCUGCCACUCUAGAUUAGGUCUACAAAUUAGGCAAGAUAAACACAAUCAGCUUUGUGUAUAGUUUCUACCUUCACUUGGCCUGUUGGAGAAGAAGCUCCUUUAUUGUGUAGCCUCAGAGGGCUGCUAGUUGAUUCCAUCUUCCUCUUCUCAAGAUUCCGUUGCAAUCGUGUAGGCACAUUGAUAAUUUCAGACAAGGGAACAAAGCAUGAAUUGUCUCCUGAAUCAACCAUGCCUGAGAUAUCAGCUUUUUCUUCAUUUGUCCUCAAGUUAUUGGAGAGAGUAGCAAUCCGAUCAUUUCUUUCAGUCUGCAGGACAUAAGUGGCAUUAAAAGAAUUGUUCUGUUGAAUAUAAUAUCUGAAAGAUAAAAUGGAAGAAAUAUUUAAACCUGGUGAGAGCAAUAGAGGUUGCGUGGAAUACCCUUGCAAGAGGUUUAUAGGAUAACCUGCCUAUCCUAAUCUAUCUAGGCAUGGCAGGGAGCUGGCCUGGGCCUGGUGUGUUCCCAUACACGCACAUAGCACAUACAUAUCUAACACGCCCCCGCAGCCUGAACGUUCAGACUGGACCUGAACUUCGUGAACACCGAAGAAGGCAAGCCUUUGGUGAAGAUGUCGGCGUACUGAGAGCUCGUCGGAACAUGAAGAACACUGACAUCUUCGGUGGCAACGCGCUCAUGAACAAAGUGUAGAUCAAUCUCCACAUGUUUGAUGCGCUAAUGCUGAACGGGGUUCGAAGACAUGUAGACAGUGCUAACGUUAUCACAAUAAAUCAAGGCGGUACGGCGCAGAGGAACAUGCAGCUCAACAAGAAGUUGGUGCAACCAAGAAACCUCGGCAACGACAUUGGCAACCGUCCGAUACUCAGCCUCAGCACUCGAGCGAGAGACUCAAUAUGACGCUUGGAGGACCAGGAGAUCAGAUUGUCACCCAAAAACACGGCAUAGCCUAAAGUGGAUUUGUGGGUGUCCGAGCAGCCAGCCCAAUCAACAUCAGAAUAAACAAGCAGAUUAGACUGAGUAGAUGGUCGCAGAAGCAAGCCCAGGUGAAGAGUUCCACGCACAUACCGAAGAAUGUGCUUCAAAGCAGCAAGAUGCGGUUCUCGCGGGUCAUGCAUAUGGAGGCAGACCUGCUGAACAGCAUAGGCAAUGUCUGGACGUGUGAAGGUGAGGUACUGUAAAGCACCGGCAAGACUCCGAAAAUCAGUGCCAUUGACAAGAGGAGCACCUUCAGCAGCAGACAGCUUCGGAUUAGUAUCAACCGGGGUGGAACAAGGCUUGCAAUCGGUCAUACCAGCACGAUCCAGAAUCUCCAGCAUAAACAGGCGCUGGGACAACAGAAGAUCAUCACCAGAGCGCUGCACAUGCAUACCCAGAAAAUGAUGAAGCUCACCAAGAUCCUUCAUGGAGAGUUCCCGCUGCAAGGCAUCAGUAGUGCAGCGAAGUAGAGGUGUUGAGGACACCGUGAGAACUAUGUCAUCCACAUAAAGGAGGAGAUAGACAGUGUCGUCGCCACGGUGAUACACAAAGAGAGAAGUAUUAGUCUUCGCCUCCACAAAACCAAGCUGCAACAAGUGUGUGGCAAAAUGGCUGUACCAAGCGCAGGGUGCCUGCUUAAGUCCUUAAAGAGAUCGAUUAAGCCGAUACACGUGAUCAGGGAGAGCAGGAUCUUCAAAACCAGUAGGCUGAGCACAAUAAACUGCCUCUGAGAGUGUCCCAUGAAGAAAGGCAUUCUUCACAGCCAACUGAUGAAUCGGCUAGCUGCGAGAAGGCCAAGGAGAGCAUUGUACGGACGGUGGCGGGCUUCACUGAAAGUCUCAGAGAAGUCAAUCCCUAGGUGCUGGGUAAAACCUAGCAGCACCAAACACGCCUUGCAGCGCUCCAGAGAACCAUAUGCCUUGAACUUGUGCUUAAAGAUCCAUUUGCCGGUCACAACAUUGGCCCGAGCAGGACGGGGAAUGAGAUCCCACGUAUUGUUGGCCAAGAGCGCAUCAAAUUCCUCCUGCAUUGCCCGGCGCCAAUUUAGAUCAGCAAGGCCGCUCCGGUAGGUGCGAGGAAGCGGUGAUAGCGAGGUGGAGUGGAACAGCGUUGGGAAACGAAAUCCCAGCUUCCCGCGCGUGGUCAUGACAUGCUGAUUUGUCACAGGACGCACGGGAAGAGCACCGCGAGGGAGGGGAACCGGAGCAGAAGCUUGCGGGCCUUGGAGCGACGUCCGGAUCGGAGCAUGGAUAGACCUGGAGAGGCCGGCCGGAGCCGACGGGGCGCCCCCACUGGGCAGCAAGGCUGGCAGGGGCUGAAGACGUGCUAACCGCAGCAGCAGUUGAAAGAACACCGAGCAGCGUGCCAAGGGCCGGCAAGCCAGCAGUGCCGGUGAGGCCAAGCACAGCGGGCUUGGGAGAGACGCCAGGAGGUGUGAUGACAGAGGGCAUCGUCAGGGCCGGCCGGGCGCCGAAGAGGGCAGCCGGUGCUGACACCGAGCGGCUGCAGGGCAGCGCCCAGCGGCGAAGUGGAGGCUACCGAAGGAGUAGAAGCCGCACGUGGCUGUGCGGGGGCACCGGGCGAAGGAACAGCCACACAUGGCAGUGCAAGCGCGCCUGGGGGUGAACCUGUAGGUGACAGAAGGGGUGCUGGACCGAUAGGUGCUGGCACCACAUUAGUAGGCUCCAAUAAAAACUCAAACUCCUCAGAAGUGGGUGGCGAGUGGCUGCUGGGAAAAGGGAAACGAAGUCUCGUCGAAGACCACAUGCUGAGAGAUGAUGACUCGGUUGGAGGAGAGAUCAAGACAGCGGUAACCUUUAUGAUGAGCAGAAUAGCCAAGGAAGAUGCACAAAGUGGAACAAGGAGCAAGUUUGUGGGCUGCAGUAGCGGAAAGAUUAGGAUAACAAGUGCAACCGAAAACACGAAGGUGAUCAUAGGAAGGCUGGGCGCCAAACAAAGCCAUGUGUGGCGUCCAAGUGUUUUGGAAGGCAAGAUGUUAAGCAGAUGUGUGGCAGUAUGCAGUGACUCAACCCAAUAAGAAGGGGACAUACUAGCCUGGAACAGGAGAGCGAACAACAUUGCUGAUGCUCCGAAUCAUGCGCUCAGCCCGACCGUUCUGGGACGAGGUGUAUGGGUAGGACAUGCGCAGGUGGACGCCGUGAGUGAGGAAGAAAGUGCGGGUACUAGAGUUGUCAAACUCGUGGCCGUUGUCGCACUGAACAGCUUUCACAGUGGCGCCAAAUUGAGUACGCACAUAGGAGAAAAAGUUAGUCGAAGUUCCAAACGUGUCGGAUUUUAGGCGUAAGGGAAACGUCCACAAGUAAUGAGAGCAGUCAUCAAGAAUGAGCAAAUAGUAGUUGUAUCCAGACACACUAAGAACAGGAGACGUCCACAAAUCAGUGUAUGAGAUCAAAAUUGCUAGACCCUUGAGAUGCUGAUGACUGAAAAGGCAAACGAGUAUGACGCUCCAACUGGCACGCAUGACAAAUGGGACUGAGGUCUUUAUUACGAAAAUGAACUGCAGAAGCAACUUUGGACAAAACUUUAUGACCGGGAUGACCAAGACGGCGAUGCCACACCGACGGGUUGGAGACAGCGGCGAGGGCGUGAGCAGUAGGAAAGCGAAAGGGGUACAGCGGCCGAGAGCUAUUGCACCUGACGAUCAGCCUCCGAGACUCCAGAGCCUUCACAGAACAGCUAGCGGGAUCAAAUUCGACAGAACAAUUGUUAUCAGAGGUGAACUGGCGAACAGAAAUAAGAUUCUUAAUAAGCUUAGGUGAAACUAGAACGUUAUUAAGAGAUAAUGAACCGGGAAGGUGAGCUGCGCCAGUAGCUGUGAUGGGAAGCAAGGAGCCGUCAUCGACAACAAUGGACGAAGGAAAAGGAUACCACGGGUAAGAUGAAUAUGAAAGAGUACCAGCGUCUGAAGUUAUACCGGAGGUGGCACCUGAGUCGAGAUACGAGUCGUUUGCCUACGGUUGGUGGAGCGUCAUGGGGCUGAACGUCGAGGCUAGUGAUUGCUGAUCCCAGGAGGAAGGCAGGUCCGUCAUGGGGUUGUAGAUACCCGGAGGAACCUGAGGCGCCUGCUGCCCCAGGUAGGGCGCCUGCAGGCCGUGCUGUUGCGCCUGCUGCUGAGUGAGGAAGGCCUGCUGCUGUGCUAAAAGAGGUGCGACGGGCUAGAGGGGGGCUGCUGCCGUGGACCUGGGUACAUCUGGAUUGUACCCGUCCACGGGUUCCAGAAGGAGGGCUAGGGGCUGCCGACCUCCUGUGCCGUGCCUGGAGCAGGAGCAUGGGCUUUGGAGUUGUGGCCGGCAGGGGCCUUGCCACCACCACCCUGGCGCGGCUGGCCACCGUGCUGCUGGAGGACCCGGAGUUCCCUCCCUUGCCACCCCCUUUGCCGCCCCCGAAAUUGUUGCUAGUCCGACCAGCAGAUUGGUGGGAGGAGCCAGGGACGUGCGAGGAGGAGGAAGCUUGAGGCUGGUGCUGGUGAGGAGCGCCGUAGACGGAGUCGAAGCAAGAUUCACCAUCGCGAGCCUCCAGGAAGGUGCGGAGAGGCCGGCUGCGCCUAAUGUCGCGGCCAACGGCGGCGAACUUCUCGUUGAGCCCGCGGAUGAUGCUGAGGAUGAGGGUGCGGUCGGAGGGCAUCCGCCAUGCCCUUGAAGCGCCUGCAGUAAUCUGUGAUGGACAGAUCGCCUUGGACAAAGUUGCGGAACUAGGCGUCAAGGUAGAGGGCCCGUGUCUCCCGGUUGCCGAGAAACUGGGUCUUGCUGGCAAGCCAGGUGGCACAAGCGGUGGCACCACGCUCGCCACGCUCCAUGACGAUGUUGACGAGGUCGUUGGCGAUGGUGCCGUAGAGCCAAGACCGAACGGCGCAGUCCAUGCGCCCCAAAUCUAGAGAGGCCAGAGCAGCACGUCACGAAGUACAUUGGUCCUGCAGGGAGUACUUGCCGACGGUGAGGAGGAACUACUCGCGCCACCGUGUGUAGUUGCCGGAGGCGAUGUCGAGGACAACGGGGAUGAGACUUCGGAUAUCCUAUACAGCAACGGCUUAGGCGUGCAGAUUCAAGACGGCAUCAGCUUCGUGCAGGAGCAAGGCUUGAUGGGCGUCGUUGGGCGCCUGAUCGGAGACGGAAGAGGCAUCGGCGGCGGCGUCCUUCUCAGAGUCAGGCGGGGCACCCUUGCGCUCCUCGACGGCGCGCGCCAGGGCGUCGCGGAGGCGAGCAGCAGCGGCGUCGCGCUCCUGCACAACGGCUGCGUUCUCUUCCUCAGCCUUGACGGCGCAGGUGAGGGUAGCGGCACGCGCAGACUUGCACGUCUGGCGCUCUUUUUCAGUGCGUUUGGUGGGCUCGGCAUCCGUGCCGUCGCGCUUGGUAUUGGCGGCGGAAGUCUUGGUGGUGGCGAGCGGCAGGGAGCCGACCAUGGGCGUAGCGUGAAGGACGCGUGCGGGGUUAGCUACGCCGGCUAGGGCGCACUAGGUUGCGGAAGCAAGAACAGGAGAAACCCGGACUCGUGAUACCAUGAGAGCAAUAGAGAUUGCGUGGAAUAAUAGAUUGAUUAGGGUAUACAAGGUGUACAAAUAUAUAGGCAGCCCUUGGGAGAGGUUUAUAGAAUCAUAAUCAAUCAAAGGAUAACCUACCUAUCCUAAUCUAUCUAGGCACAGCAGGGAGCCAGCCUGGGCCUUGGCGUGGUACACACCAGGCCCAUACACGCACAUAGCACAUACAUAUCUAACACCUGGCACUAUUUAUCCUUCAAUAAAUUUACACAUGCAACUAAAAUAUUCAGCAUAAUAGAAGAAUUUAAGACUGAAAAUAUAAUCCCCUUUAGACUGAAAAUACGAUCCCUCCGUUUUUAUUUAUAGGGCACACACGCAUAUCAAGAUUCAAACUUUGCAAUCUUUGACCAACAAUUUGACUAUUAAUUUUUUAUUUUUAUAAUGUAAAUUUUAUACGGUUGGAUUCAUAAUCAAAUAUACUCUACAAUGAUUAACCGUAAACAAUAUAAGAUAAGAUAAAUAAAUGGUCAAAGUGUUAUUUGGAAGACCGUGCUAAGUAAUACCAUGCCUUAUAAACAUAGAUGGAGGGAGUAUAAUGUUACCUACAAAUGAACUAAUCUGCAAAGGUGACUGUGGACUUACAAAAUUCAAAGAAUCAAGUAUCGAAUAAGCACUAUGGCUAUAAAUCUUUUAGGCCAUGGCAUUAUUAUAACUGCCAGAAUCAACAUGAUUACUUUCGUACAACUGAGAAUCAAACUCUUCUCCACAUUUGCUAGUAAAUGUGUAUUUCAGACAUUGGAAAAGAAAGGUAUGAAUUGUCUGCGGAAUCAACCUUGCCUGAGAUUCCAGCUUUUCCUUUACUUCUUGAGCUUUUGCUGGGAGCGGGAUUAUGACUGUUCCCUUCAGCCUGAAAGAUGGCACUACUGUUAACAAUAUUUGAGUACAUAACAACAAGAUAUACAGAACAAAAAACUAGAAGUUGGUUUUGUGUAUCCUUCAAUAAAUUUACAAAUGGAAUCAAAGCACAUGGAAUAGAAGAACAUAUAACACUUAUAGUGCAGUUUAGUUCUUGCCAACAACUGAUUCUGUAUAAAAUAACUUGUACACUUAUAAAAAUCACAGAUUCACUGGAACAAACGCAUUGACAUCAUUAUUUUUCAGGCUUCGAUUAUGGGCCUCGCAGCAAAUGCUUGCACAGAGAAAACAGAAGUUAUAGAGCGGGGAAAAAACAAAAAUCAAAGACAACGCAGAAUGCAAGGAAAUACUAUUUAUUCAAUGAUCUUAUGAAUAACCAUGAGACAGAAAUCCAUGCCUUACGAUCUCUGAGAGCAGCACACCGCGUAUUUUUGAACCAUUUAUCAAUCUGCAAAUGGAUGGCAGACAUUGGUUACUGACGCUGGAGACAUUUUCAGAAAAAGCAAGUUGAUAAUCAUUCUAUACUUCUUAGAUGCUCUGCCCAACACAUAUUGUUAAAUUAAAAGAGUGACAACUGUGAUAUGGACUAGAGUAUCUGACUUUAAUUAUGAAUGGUAUUUAUAGCAUUACUAUAACAAAAGAGUGGAACAUAAUCUGGUAACACAGGGUAUUUGAACAGCAGAAAGCAACUUUCAGGUGAAUAAAUCAAUAAACACAUAAGAGUAAUAAAGAACACAGAGCUGUCAAAAUUGAUCUGAUCAAAUCCUACGUACCUUUUCGAAAGAAAUGUCCAAUUCUCUUGAGAGAUUUUCUUUGACAUCUCGGGGUGGGAGCUCAUUUUCAGCAAAAGAUUUGCGAAGCACCUAAUUUAGGAAGGUGAAGGACAGAUGAUAUUAAUGACACACAAGCGUGAACAGGACAAAAAUGACAGUUCCACAGUAGCAAGCAUAAUAAGCUAGUUUUAACUCCAAUUACAGCCAUGAGUUUGCCUUGUAUCACAGCAUAUACAAAUGCGAAUCAUAAUAUGCAUAUAUAAAGAGGUCUAUCAAUUUAUAAAGGUCAUUAAAACUUUCAUAUACCUCGACUGCCGUGGGAGGAAUCCUGAAGAGUUUUCUCCCCUUCUUCUCAGUCUUUUCAUCAGAUAUAACAUUCGAGAAACCAUCAACAGAAUUAUCCUGUACACUGGCUGCACGUGUUCUUCUUUUCUUUCUUCUGUCAUGACCCCAAUCUUCAUCCUCACUCUGUUCUUCAUUCUCAAUUAUUUUUCCAAACAUUUCCUAUGCAGGGUGAAAGGUAAUCAACAUUCCAGCCCGUUGGGCUAACUUAUUGCCGCAAAUCAACAUUUACUUUGUGAAGGUUCAACUUGUACAUAAUAUUUCUAAGAAAAAUGUUUUAAAUUGCAGAACUGGUAGCAAUAAUUUUACUGGUGAAACAUACCUCAUUAAGUCUUCUAUAAUCAACAUCUCUUCUUGGCCUUUGGUAGGUAAGGAUCUGUGCACCAUCAUCUUCACCAGAGUCUAUGCCUAAGUCUAAAUUGGCAUGACAUAACCCUUCAACGUCAUUGAAGUCUGCUGAUAUGAAGUCCGGAAUAUCAUCAUUUGGUGAAUAAAGUGGACUUCCUGAACCAUUGGAAUCAUCAGACAUAAUUUCUUCCCCACUGUUCAUGCAGCUGCUGCUGGCCUCAUUUUCUUCAGGAUCAUAGUCCUCAUCACCUGAAUACUCAGAAAGCCAAUCUUCAUCUAGUGCAUCCUCAGAGUCUAUUUGUUCCGUUGCUUCCUUGAAAACAUCCUAUAGAAAGCAAGUAGAGUUGACAAUUGACAGAAAUAGGAUAGAAUUGCUAGAGUAAAAUGAUCAUAGCAUAGGUGCAGAAAUGUUAAAGACUCACUUCAAAAUGGCACUUCACUGUAAAAUUUGUUCCUAGAUGUGCAUUAAUAGCUUCUAAAAUUUUCACCUUGCACAAACAGAAUUUGCAAAGCCAACCAUGGCUACUUGUUGGAAGAGCUGAGAAAAGCACAAGACAGAUAUACAUAUUAAUGGUAAAAUAAUUAGUAACGCAAUAUCUGAGUAAAAAUAAACUAACAGGUCUCUGUGUAUUUCCGAUGAGGAGCAAAAACUACAGCAGGCUGCAGGCAACACAAAAAAGUACUGAAGUACAAUACCAUCAGAACAGCAUCUGUACUUUUUAUGCAUGUCAUUGCAACCUAGAUUAUAUGACCAAGCAUUAAAUUACAUCACUUUUUGAUUUUAUCCUGAGGAAGGUGAACAAGAUUUUAGGUACACAUCCUCUCAUGCACAAAGUAAAAAAGCUGUGUGAAUAGAAUGGCUCGUUUAUUUUGAUGUGUCUGAGCAAAACGGUUACCCAUCAACUGGGUUUAAAAUGGAAAACUUAACCUUCUAAAUUUUCCCUGUCAGCAAACAAAAUAGACACUGUUUUGCCAUAAAUGUGUAACUAUUUUAUCACACUGAGUGCAUAAAACAGCAUGAAAGGCAUGUAAACAAGUACGGGACCGCAUAUUCGGAAGGAAAAAUAGAAAUUAUUACCACUUUUUUCUAAAGGAGGUUCCAAACAUUUCUCAUGAUAUGUCCUUUUGCAGGCCCCUUCACAGAAGAUAAUUUUAUUGUUGGGAAAUGAUUCAUGAGACUUGCAUGUUGAACACAUGAUCUAGCAAAACAAAUAUUGACAAUUCGUCAGUUGAAAGAGAGAUCCUGAGGAAAUAGAGCAUUUGAUGUUCACUUGAUGCUAUACGUACAUGUUCAGGAUCAGUACACUCAGCUGGAGGCAUCACUGGGUCAUCAAAGCUCCCAGUGGAAUUACACACAUCAAGUUGGCGAAUAACAUCACGUAUAGCAAUUUUGCAUUUUAUGAUCUGCUUCUUGGCACGCUGCAGUUCCUUCUCUGGUUUUAUUUUCUCUCGGCUGAUUGGAAAGGUGCACUUAAUCAGCGUACUAUUUACUAUCAUACCUAUUUUGCUGUACUAACACAUAAAAGCAACUGAGCAAGGAAAGUAAUGUGGUGGGGCUGAUUUAAGGACAGUAAUAUGACCAGUUAACAUGAUUCUAUCCAAAUAAUAGACAGGGCGGUGGGAGGGGUGGGGGGGUUGGAGUACUUUCGCUAGCCCAUGCCAACAAAAGGUACUGCACUGAUCUUGUGAAACAGAAUUCAAUCACAUAAGUCCAAAAGUCUACUUCCAACAAAUUAAGACAGAUCAGUAUUAUUCCUAGACUUCAAAAUGCCAGAAGCAAGUGAACUUGUGAUCUUACUAUAAUUAAGAAAUUUUAAUUGCUUAAAGCACGUUGUUGUCGUAUUGUCCACGUGCAGCUAUUCUUCUUGGGUGGUAAUAAAUCCCAUAUAUAUUAGUUCCAAAACAAAUUGGCAUCUUGUUGGCUUCAAGCCUUAAAUGUCUAUUCAAACAUGAUAACAUUAUUGAGGUUCCUGUUUUAAAUGAAAAAUGCAUUUACUCUAGUUGUAUACAUAGAUCUGAAAAUCUUCUUUCACCAAUAGGUCACAGCAGUUAGAGCGCAGUGUGCACCUUUGCCCAUUCCAUCCAUCUCCAGAGUAAGCAUCUAGUAAGUUCUGCUCCAAUUUUAUCUUGAUUAGAAAAUAUCUCGCUCUUCGUUCCAAGCGAGUUGCUUCAUCAGUAUUUUGCCGCUUUCUUUUCUUCCUCCUCCUCGCAACUAAUCCUGUUACAACUUUCCCAGCAACAGAAUCUGAACCCCUCCGACGUUUCAGAGGACUACAAUGAUAUUUAUUCUUUAUGCUUUUUGCCAAAGUAGCAUUCCUAACUUUCCUUGGUGACCUCUUCAGAGGAGAAUCAUGUUUACAUUGGCGGGAAGCAUUACGUCGACUUGGCCUGUUUGAUACAGGAACCAACUCCGAAGAGGUCUCUUUCCUCCUUUUUGAUGAUCUCCCUGAGUUGGAGCACACCGUUUUAUUUUCUGAAGAACGCAUAACUAGUGAUGGUGAUUAUCAAAGGGGACGAAGACCUAAUACAAUAAAAAGAUAUGUCAAAUACGAGAUAGGCAUGGUAAGAAGCAACAGGAAAAUUUUAAUUUAAAAGUAACAGCAACAUAGCAUGAUAAGCAGAUUGCUAUAGCAUGUCAUUAUUUAGCACAAAGCUAUGGUGAUCUCAACUACCUAUUUUUCUUAGGCAUGCCAUCUAAGAAAGGUUGCCAAACCAGACACAUCUACAUAAAGCGCUUGUUGGUUGGCCAGGUUCAACAAAAUAAAAUAAAAAACCGGCACUAAUCUAUAUAGGUGUUCGCAGGAACAUAUUAAAAAAACAUUGACAUGAACAUAAUACACUAUGGUUUCAGAUGAUGCACUGUAUUACUUCUCCCCAACCGUGUGUGCAAAUAGCUGCCACAAGGUGGACAGGUGAGCGCAGUACGUUUUGCACAUACCAAACCCAAUUGGACAGUCUGAAGCACAGAGUAUUGGCAAUUUCAAGUUGGUUGUUCCAAGCUGACAGUCGAAAUGGGGUCAGACUGUAUGGAGAAGAAACAUCUCUAACUCCAAAUCCAUUCGAGGCAGUAGAUCCGGACUCUACAGCACAGAAGCGAACCAGACGAAACCUACCUAAUCGACCCCCUCUUCAGAAACGCUAACCAGCAAACCAAAUUGCAGAGCAGAGGGGGAGAGAGGCGGGGGAGUGGAGGCGAAAUGGGGUUUCAGACAGCGUAGGCUCGGGCCGCGACGUACAAGUACAAUGGCACCGGCGACGGAGCCGCAGACGGCGACUAGCCCGAGGACGCGGGGCGCGCCGACCACACCGGCCCACCCGCCCGCCCGCUCAGAUGCGGGGAGCGCGGCCGGCCACGGCGGGCGCUGGAGGCCGGAGGCAGCCGACGGAGCUCGGGGCGGAGGAGACGGCGCUAGGGCAUGGCGGCGGCGGUUGCUUGUGGGGGAAGGAGAGCGGAGCGGCGGUGUGAACGGGAAGGCGGAGGCGGAGGCGGCGUCGCUGCUGCUGCGAGCGAAUUGAAGAGGACACGGAAACGGAGGAGGCGGGGAGGGGAGGGGGGGCAGCCCGGCAGGAAUGACGCGUCGCCUCAGUUUCUCUGCGCCCCGGCCGUUGACGCCCGGGGCAGAGGACGGACGGGCGGGAUGGUCGGGAGCGGGCGAUCGGACGGCCGGGGCAACCUUGGAUGCUGCGACAAUUAUUGCUCCGUCACUCGUCAGUCAAUGGCAGGCAAGGAUGGAUUCGAAUUAUUAUUAUUAUUACAUUUUUCUAAAAAAGCAUUUAUUUUCCUUUGAUGGUGAAAUCGUUGGUAAUUUGAAGUAAAAUCAACCAAAUCAAGGGAAGUUUGCAGUGAAGUCGCCCAACUUUUAGCGAGCUCGGACACCGAUGAACUUGGGAUCCUUCGUGCCAUUCACAGCAGUAACCAAUUGGGAAAUGGCCAUUUGAAAUUCUGCCCCUAAAUUUUGAAUGAAACAUUUAUUUAAAUUAAAAACAAACUGCCCGGACCCGGCCUGGCUUUUUCUUUUUUACCGAAAAACUCAGGAAUUUGGAUUAGUUGUACAGGCUACACCUUCUCAAAAACAAGUUGAUAAACACUACGUGGAAAUGAGGACACAAAGCUCCUAGAGUAGAACAAUGUAACACAGUAUCGUCUUUGCAAUUUUACAUAUUUCCUCUAUAAAACAAUCACUGCAUGAUGUUACACCGAUGAACACAGAUCACAUAUGGGCUUAACAAUAGAUGUCUGUUCAGAGUGAAUUAUCAGCCGCCAGCUAUCUCAAGUCCUCAACAGCCAAACAAAUAGACGUGCAUCAUUUCUUCGCUUUCCUAGUUCUCUUCGCAGGUUGGGUUUUCCUUGCGCCCUUUUUAGGGGCCUUCCCUGCAACCUUUGCCUUCUUCGGUGCCUUCCCCUGCAUGUCACAGGAAUCGGUUAGGGCUUCCAUCAGGAGCACUUUGAUGUCGAGAUGCGAACUAUUAAUUGUAAAGAAGGUUUCAUACUUCCAUAAUUGGUAAUCCCUGAGAAUAGCAGCACACUAGCACUAAAGAAGAUAUACACAAGCAAAACCUGGAGUCAAUGCCAUCUUUCCCUACCAGAUUCAUCGCAAACUUGUUGGUAGCACGUUCUCUACAUCUUUGGUAAUGAUUCUGUGAAAUUACUACUUCAUUGAACAUUUGAACAGCAAGGAAGCCUAAGGAAACAGGAAGGCCAGUGCUAAUUGCUAAAGGCUUGUGCAAUUUCAUGAUAAUAACCCGUAAAGCAGCAGUGCAAAGGACAUGAUAACAAGAUAUGCACAAGUGCACAAGCAUGUUAAUAAUUAAACCUUCAAAUGCCCCUCGUAAAAUUGCAGUCUGGAACUAAACACCUCUAAUUCAGAAUUCCCAAUCACUACAAGUCUGGAACACUUUAAUGGACAUCUUCUGUACAUAACAAAAUCCCAGAAACUAGCUACAGAUAAUUAGGUUAUUUUUUUCCUCGAAUGCUCACAUAAUUGGGUUAUAACAAGUUAGUUAUCAACUAAAGUGGAGGCAGGAAAACGUACCACUUGUUUCUCAGCUUUUCUUUUGGUUUUCGCCUUAGGUUGACCAUCAUCUUCAUUAUUCGGAUCAUUUUGAUAGGCCUGUGAUUCAGGAAGCUUAUCACCCUCCUCAUCUGAAUCAAAUGUGAAUCCAUCAAGGGUACCUAUACAGAAGAUAGAUCCAUAAUGUUAGAGAAGAAAAAUUGAAAUACAGGCUGUCACCAUAGAAACAAUGGGUCCAUAACUUCAUGCAGAUUGUUUUUUCCUCACAGGCGCACACUAACACUAAAGCUGCACCCAAAUGCGGAAGCACCUUUAAAUAGCUCAAUCAAAGAAUGAUAGAAGCAUGCCAUAUUAACUUGCAUGGCAGCUUUGUACAUCAAAGAUGCUCUGAUCUAAAGUCUAUAAUUAUGCUAACCUUCCAUCAUAGUCUCCGAUUCAAAUAAAUUGGACGGUGGUUCCAGUUGAAUGAAGUCAUUCAUUAUAGCCUCUAUCUGCACAGGAAAAACAGGGGAUGCAUUAUGAUAAACAGUUGCCUUGGAAUAAAAGUGACAUAGAAAAAUGGAAUACAUAAAAAAAAUGUAUAGUUGGAGAUUGCACAUUAGACACUCGAAUUUAUGACGUGUAAACUGAUAUGGUGGAUAACACUAAUAUGCUUAUAAAUUUAUUUAAUGGUUUACGAACCUUUGCUUCUGAUUGUCCCACACUCACCUGAAAGAGGAAAUGCACCAAGGAUUAAAGCCUAACUCCUAAUAAUAAAAUUGUACUUGAGUUUCAGAUAUAACUUACAACACAAAAUGUCCUGGAUGGAACUAUGGUUGUUUUGUAUAUCGUUCCUGUUUCAGUAUGAAAGAAGAAAUAAUAAGCUAACUCUUGGAAUAUGCAUGUAUCAAGACAAAACAGAGCUGGUUUUCAAAUGCUUUAGCUGAGCUUUAGUACAGAUAUCUUGCCUGGGAUUUCCUACCAUAGAUUAGAAUUCGGAAAGCCAAUGAAGUAUCUAAUGUGAAAGUUACUUGAUGGUACCUUUCAGAUCCAAUAACAAAUCCUGACUUCCAGUAGGACCGUUUGAAACUACUAUCCUCCCAACAGCACCAAUAUCUCCACUCAAAUCUAUCGAGUCACCAUCACAUUCAAUCAAUGCCUAGAAAAACAAUCAAAUACACAGAACAAAGGAUUAUUAACUAAAGUAGAUAUUAAUAAAAUAAAUUGUUGGAUAAUAUAGUUGGGAGUUUCCAGGUAAUAGCUUCACUAAGUUAUUUUCCAGAAGUCCAAUUGCCGAUAGUUCAGCUUUACAACAUAGUCACAUGUAUACAAUUCAGAAAUUUUAAACUAACCCAUGCUCUUGUUCUUAAGUCAUUAUUUGCUAUGAUUGGACACACACAGUAUCGUAAAAAACAGUACCCAUGUCAAAUCUCCUGACUGUACUUCCGUUGAUUAAAAAUUUAUUUUUGCUAAGCAGACAUUUUUUCCAUGAAGAAAACAGAAGAGGGGUGGGGGAGGACAACAGGCUUGUUGAAAGCAUUUGGUUGCAAGCAUAAUUUUUUUAAUGAGCAGUGUUCACAUAGGCAGAGGCACGGAGCACUAAUUCCUGCAAGAGUUGAUCAUACCUUUGAACGUUGAACUUUAUCGGGAAACAUUAAUGGUAACCUCUGGGAGACCUGGCAUUUUAGAAAAAGAAACAUAUACUCAAUCAAAAGGCUGCAGAAACAUAAUUUGAAAUAAUCACACAGAAAGGUACAAGCUGUUUUUUUCCCUUCUAUUCUUUUUUCUUUGGUAAACGCCCCUCAAGUUUAUCAUCCAAAAUAUCACGGGGGUGAAAAUGCAUAAAGUAGAGAGGGGUGAGUAAGACAUCUUACAGAGUUUCCUGUAAGUUUAUCUUGCAUUUCAUCCUCAGCAACUCCCUCUUGAUGUUCCAAUGCGUCUAUGUUGGACCAUGAAACAGUAAGUACAUGUUAUUCAUAAAUCUGACUUUUAAGCUGGUAACUAAAAUGGCAGCCACACUAAAAUGUCUUACCACCUAUUUGGUCUGGAUCAGAUUUUGCUCCCACAACCUUUGGUUUUUUAUGCUUAGUUUCUUGAACCCCUUUUCUCCUGGGAGUGCUAUGUGAGUCCUCUUCAUGAUUAGCAUCACCAGCCCUUGAAGGGCUGUUUCCAGGGGAAGCAUCAGAACCAGAUGAAAGUGUAAACACAUCCUUCUUUGGAGUCUAUAAAAAGAAUAGGUACAACAAUUAAUUGCAAAACUACAGCACUAGUGUCUGCACCUAGUAUGUUGUAAACUUGUAUGAAGUUAAAUUAAACAUAAGAGUUGCAAUAUCUGAUCACUAGUAACACCAUAAAAAUUGAAUAUUCCAAAGAUAAGGUCCAAACUAAUAGUUGCCACAAAGGAACCGGAACUGAUAAUCUGUGCACGAAAAAGGUGCAUGCUCAACUGUAUCGAUGGCAAAUCUUACUAGUACAAUCUGCAGAUCAAAAGAAUACCAGCCUGGAUAGCAAUAUAACAUGAAUUGAAGCUAGGGAAUUCAAACAUCUAAAUCCAUACCGAGCGCCUAGUAGUGACAUCUCGUUUUUCAUCUGUGGUUGGUCCUUCUGCAUGUUUGCCAAAAGAAUCUAUAAGCAAAUAUGUGGAACAACUGGAUUAUAAUUUUAAUGAGAAGCACUCGCUACUUCAUAAUUUUAUUGCACUAAGUAAACAGGUCAACCAGAUCUACCUUUUUUACUACUAAGAGUUUUUCUUCUAGCAAAUGUCAGAGUCUUGCGCUUGUUUUGUGCAGGGUCUUCUCUAUCACCUGCAUGAUCUGAACUAGCCUGCUUUUCUCCAUUUCCUUGUUCUCUAGAUGAAGUGGUCCUGGUAGGACUAGCUUCAGGAGAAGCAUCAGACCCAGAAGAAAGCAUCACUGGCGCCGUACUUGGUGCCUAUACCAUAAAAGAAGAAAGAAAAAUUCAAAUCCAUGUAGUAACUGCUUAUUGCUACAUAAUAACUUAUACGAAGAGAUGAUUUUGGAACAAAAAAAAUUUGGAAAGCUAAUGUAAAGACAGAAGUAAGAGUAGCCAAUGAAUACUGCAAGAACAAGGUACUAAGAAUGGCGAGAAUGACAUUUGGCACUACUGAUGGAGUUCUGACAUUUAUUGACCCAAAAGGUUCUACAAGCUCCCCUUACAAAAACAUUCACCAACCUCCAUAGACCUACACUGUGGAUCUGGAAAUCAAAUUGCUAAAACAAGCUCAAGGUUUUCAUGUGGCUUCUCAGUAUUGACAGACUCAAUACAAGAAAUUUGCUUAGAAGGGGAUACAAAUAUACAAUAUUGUGCAGCGCAAAUAGUGAAGUUUUUUUAAAAUGGAUAUUGGAGAAUUCAACCUCAAUUCGUAGCUUCAGUAUUAUAUGCUGGAACUACACUGUAAUAAUUUGGGACACAAAGCUAAAUUUCCUCAACAUGAUGGUCAAAGGGAAAAAUAAUUCACCAACCCUACUUCAUGGAAAUUGUCACAAAUGCAGCUUGGCGUAUUUGGAAGCAAAGAAAUCGAUUAAUCUUUGAAGGACGACAACGAAAUUUUUAUAUCUGGAAAAGGAGCUUCAACUUCAAGGAUGAAAUCCUCCAAUUACACAGGAAUAGAAGAAAGCGUUAGAUGUUCUCUCUUUUCUUGAGUGGAGUCUCUUGUGUAAAUGUUUUUUAGAUCUUUAGUUUUCUUUCAUUUGUUUUUCUCCCUUUUAUUUUUCCUUGUACAAUCCUCUUAUUUGUUUGUAUUUAUAUGAUAUAUAUCUAGCAUAGGGAUCUAUCCUACUGUAUUUCUUUAGAGAAAAAGGAAUGAAAAAGGUGCUGACUAUCUUAUAGCCACUGUCACGAAUUUGUGACAUAGAAACUACCAUAGCACCAUUCACGACAUUGCUUGGUGCUAUCAUAGGUGGACGGCUACUGUUUAACAGAAAACACAACCAUAGCUGCAUACAGACUUGUCCUGAUACAAACUCACAAAUAUCAAUUCGAAAACGAAACGGCCUACAGCUCAAUCCUACGAGGAACAGGAAGAACAAGAACUUUCUUGAGGAGGGCAUGGACAGUUUACGGCACAGGAAGUGCCAAUUAUCAGCAUGCACAGAUCAAUGCUAGUUCGACACCAGUUUGCUUCUGAUGUGUGAAGCUGAAGCCGCACAUUUAAUUUUGACCACGAUAUGAGUGACUAAACAAGAGGUUAGCACUUAGCACUCAGAGGAUGAAAACUCUUUUCACCCAUCGGGGUUCUGGGUUCAGUACCGUCUGACCUAAUUCGCAAGAAGUUCACACUUCACAAACAAUUGCGCGACACUAAAAGCUAAAGUUUAUCCAGAACAGCUGCUCCCUCUUGCAAAAAGAAAUUUCUCUUGUCCCCGGCAGUAGCCACUCCAAGAUUUAGCCGCGGAGGGUACAAGAGAUACUCCAAAGCAGGAUGGUACCUGAAACGCGGUGAGCCAGUCGGGGUCUUCGUCUUCCUCCCCCAUUCUAACCGCUGGUGGCGCCCAGUAGCUUCGUGGGGAGAUCACGGCGCCGCCGCCGCUCGUCGGCUAUGGCCGCUGUGGGGGUAAGCGCGUAGACGGGGAAAGUCGGAAGAAGCGAGGACGAGGGAGGGAGAGGGCACGGGCUGAGGGUUUAGGGACCCGCGCCCGCGAGGGCAAACCCUGUACCCGUCCCCGCGCCCGCCGCCCGUCACGGUUAAGAAGUUGUGCCCGCGCCCGUCACCCGCGGGUACAGUCUACCCGCGGGCACACCCGUGCCCGCGGCGACGGGAAACCGGGCGUCAGGCGGCGGAGCGGGCGGCGGGCGAGAGGGGGGAAAGCGAGCCGAGCAUAUCAUGGGCCCGGCCCAUUGGCAGCCCAAUAGGCCAGUAGUGAGUUUUCUUUUUCUUCUUUUUAAAAUAUUUUUAUUUAGAUUUCCUUUCGAUUGAGGCUAGGCGACGACAAAGUUUGGAUCACUUGACGAAAGGAACACGGCAGCGCAGUUAUGUGCAAUGACGGGUAGCUGCAAGGAGAGACUCGGUAGUAGCAUACUCAUAGGAGAGCUCUCCAGUUGAGGUUACUAGCCCCGUAAUUAGGAGGGGGGGGGGGGGGGGGGGGGGGGGGGGGGGAUCACGCGAGUCAAAAGCCAAAAAAUGCUACUGUGCCAUCGCAUCAACGAGUCAGUUUCAGUUCUAAACAUUCCCUCGGUAAUUCCGGUACAUAGAUACAGCUGGUGGUAAAAGUAAACAGCAACACUUAACACCUUCGUGCCCCGGCAUGCAUAUCCAACUGGUAUGUCAUCACACAACCAAGCAUGCGAUUAAGUCAGCUACAACUUCUCUGAAAAGCUACAACUCUUUGAUGAACCACCGGCAAGUGCCGAGGAAGAGAUGGAAGGGCAUAACAAGGCUCCAUAAAAGGACUGCCACUAGGGUUUAUGAGGUUGCGGUGCAGGCGAGCCCCGGAAUCAGCAUCAUAUCUAUCAGGCGUACUGUCUCUCACUCCUCGUGAUAUUCUGGGUUUUUCUUGAGAAUUACAAAGCCCUCCAGUACUGGUGUGAGUGGAAUGUAUCUGCACAAAGCAAACCAACAGUAAUUAGAUUUCCUGGGAGAAACAUAUACAGAUGGGUGUAUAACACAUUGUUAGUUCAAACUUCAUUAUUACUUUUCAGUAGCUAGUUCAGCACGCUCCCCUGCGGCAAGCAAGACGGGUGUGGAAUGUGUCUGGAAGCCCGUAAUCGUUUUGGGCCUUCCUGCCUGACCAACAACAUCGACAGCUUGCCCAACCCGGACUGGAACAGGCAGGGGCUUCAGAUCCUCAUCCACGGUCAAAAGCAUCCUAGGCUGUUGGCAAAAUAGAGUUCAACCACAAUAUCCAACAGUUCUCUAAUGCAUUCAUAGAUGUGGUAACAAUUGGCUAUGGAAACAUACCUGCAUUGCCAGGACAAUAAUGUAAAGGAUGUAGUGAUAUUUCCCUAGGAUGGUGGAUUUCAUAUCAAGGCAGGCAUGCAAAACAGUUACAAGUCCUCCCAGUGCCAUCCUAGAAAGACCACAAGGAAAACAGAAAAAAGAUUGAAGCAUAAUCCAGUGGUAUUCACAUGUGAAUUGGGUAUUCAGAUAUAGUCACUUACGGGGAAAGAAGAAACCGAUCAGAAUGGUACGGAGAAAGGGUCAACAAGCCCUUUCCAAGGUGAACGAGCCCCUGAGCAAUUCUUACCUGAUGAACACAACAAAAUUAGUCAACACAUGCAACUUACACAACCAAGAAACCAUCAUAGUAAAUGGAUGCCAAAAGAUCAUUGUGGAGCUAUGCUUACACAAAACAGAUGAGCAGCUUCUUUGUAGUAAUAACUUGAAAGGUUGCGAAGCAUGCCAGCUAUUCUGGCAUUGUUUGUCCCAGCACCAAUCAAACCCAAUGAGAUGAUUGCAGCCUGGAGAAAGUGUAAUUAGGAUGUAAGAUUGACUAAGUAAGAAAGGAACAGCUAGAUACAAAAAAAAAUACGAACCAUUGAUACAUCAGCAUCUGCGUCAUGACUCAAUCUGCUCAGUGUGUCCAUCACAUUUACCUGAGAAGACAAGUAUUAGAAAAGCACCACCGAAAACCUACUAAAUGUCCUGGCAAUAUUAUGCAACCUAUUCAAGUGAAUGCACCACUGAAAAACUACUAAAUGUUUAAAUCGUCACAUUCCCAAACAGAACAGAGUAUUUUUGUGAUUCGAAAGAAGAAUAUACAAGAAGAAAUUGUGUAACACAAAAUUCAGAACCUUGCAUAGGCAUAUAUGAUGUAGAUCACAAUUUGGUUUAUGAUAUACACAGCGAAGUUAACUUGGCCACACUUUAAAUAAUGAGGACACCAAGCAAAAUUUUAGCGUUACAGUAAAAUCUAUCUUGCUUUGAUAUGAUUAAUUUCUAACAUGGCACUAGAUCCAACUUGAAGUCUUGUGUUCUGGGCCUAUAUUAACAGUAAGAGGGAAGAAAAGGUUUUGAAUUGAGAAACGAAAAACAGAGUUAGCUUACAAACCAAACUUUGAUCCAUAGAUUGUGGUCAACAUUUUUUUAUAAAAGAAUUAUAUCAAUAAUACAUUGAGAAUAGCACAUGUGCUUUGUUGUGUGUGUUUGUUGGUGCAAGUGCAUCCUUUCAUGCAGUAACUCAUGGUCUCAUCAGAGGGACAUUUCCAAGCGCAUGUAACAAUUGUCAAUUUACAAACCUCCAAAAGGAUUCAAAUAUAAUACAGUUUUACAUGAAAUCCAAGUUCUUAGCACUUCACUGAUCAGGCAUAAAUGAUUUGAGCAGGAGUUUCAUAUUUCUGAGAUAUUUAGGAUGUAAGACCAACUUAUCCGCAUACCUUGGGAUUAGAUAUACAGAGUAUACCAAGAGCAAGAGGAACUGCACGUCUGAUAUUCUGCUCGCCAUACUGCAAAAGACGCUCAAGUGAACGUACGGCCAUUUCAGCUCCUAAUUCUUCAGCCAUAGCAAUAAGAGCAAUUCCAAGGACAGCUGGCCCUUGGUGUGUUUCACCCUUCUCAAGAUGCUGUGAGCAAAUGCCAAGAAGUUUCUGAACCUGCAAGCAGAGUUGGAAUACAAUUAUUCAAAUCAAACAACCCAAAUUUGGUACAAGUUUGAAGUUGCUAGAAACCUUUUCCAGUGAUAUUAAAUACCUUAAGCACAUUCCCUGUCCCGGCAUAUGCCAGUGACAUUAGCGUUACAUCACAGUACUUCCCUAUCUUCUCAUCAAAUGUUUUAGAGACCUCCGCAGUAGCCUCUACACUUUCCUGAAAUAUGAAUUGGCUAUCAGUGUUCAGUAAUAGCUAAACACAUCUUUGAAAGCCACUAAAAGUGACCUUUAAAAGGGCAGGGACAUACAUCUAGCCUACAAUUGGAAAGUGGCAUGUGGCAACAGGGUAAACAGGAAGAUACUUCAGAUAGAUAUGUUUAAUCCUAGCAGGAAUUUAUUUGAAUACUUAAUCUACUCAACAAAAUUGCAAAGUUUGAAAUCAGAAGUCUCCAGGUUGCUUAAAUCACCUGUUUUCCAAGAUAUAGAAGGCCAAGUGCAACGGGAAGCAACCGUAUAAUAGGCUCUGACAACUCGGCCUCACUACGCUCCAUCAAGGCAAAUAUGAUAGACUGUGCAAUCUCUUCAUUGCAAGAACCAACAAACACCAAUCCCAAGGCAAUGGCUGAGAAGACCAAGACCUCCAGAGGUGAUUGGGAGUCACCCAACACAGCAGAAAGAUGCAUUUUCAGCUGAAAUUUAAGAAACGAUAUUAAUAAGAAACAUGUAACAGAUCAAUGGGACAGUAAGACAGUAAGCACAAUUUUCCACCUCUUCUUUCUGGGAACCAGCAUAUGCAAUUCCAAGACCCAAUAUUGCCCCAAUACGAAUGUUUGAGUCAUCCUUGCCAAUAUACUCCAUGAGAAUAGCAAGCGCCUGGCAGAAAGGUUAGGGUAUUAGGGGGGUAGGGGGGCAAAAGAAGAUGCAUGGAGAGAGGACGGGAUCAAGAGGUUUAUAAUAAAGUAAAGUAACAUACAGGAUCACAAUCAUUCUUCACGCUGCAAGUGACAAUUCCAAUACCUAGCAAAGCUCCAGCAACAACAUGAGUAUCAUUACUAUGCAAGUAUUUGUCAAGCUGAGCAAGCCCAGAAUCAGUAUCCCACAGGAGAAUCAUUCCCUGGAAACAAGUUAUUUAACUGUUAAUGGAUAGUUCAGACAAAAACAAGAUUCUCAGGUUAAAAACAUAAAGAAUACUGUAAUUAUACCAGACUAGCUGCUGCGCUGGCUUUUCCGUGUUCCUUGUUCUUGAAUAACCAGUUUCCAGAAGACCCACUGCUGGACGAAUCAGAUGGAGCGGUCAUCAACUUGUCCUGCACGAAGUAUAUAAGAAAACUUAAGAUGCACUAUUUUCUCACAAACAGGACCACAACUGUUUCAUCUCAAAAGCUAACCUGGCCAAACCCAGCGUUCACAAAUGCAUUGACGAAUGUUGCAGCCAAAUUCUGUCUUGCAGAAUCAAGACUAGAGCUGGCACCACGGCCAUCAAUCAAAUGGACCUACAAAUUGCACAACCACAAUUAUUAUGGAUGAUGACUGAAUUGUGCCACCAAAUACAGUAAGCAGUAAAUAUACAUCACCUUGUAUAUAUCCUCUGGAGAUUUUGGCUCCAUGACCUCAAUAUCACGAGCAAGAGUAAGGUAUCCCUCACUCAGCUUAGUAUUAUUAACUAUUUCUUGCAAAACCUCCUUGUCAUUGUCAUCAGAAGCUAUCUCAUCAUCAAUCUCCAUAGCCAAACCCUUCAGAAGAGGAAAGAUGAUGGUUCAAAACCAGGGGAAAACAAGAUCAUAAUGAGGUCCAUCUAAGUGUUGUGUGCUAGCCACUUGCCAUGAUUAUGAAUAUAUGUGCACACAUGGUAUAUGACAUACGAAGAGGAGAAUGGGGGUGGAGAGGGGCUUACAUGGCGUGCUAUGAUGUAUGAGAACUGUUUCUUGAGCAGAAAAUCAUCAGUUGAUGUGUACACUUGCUUCACAUACUGCAUGGGCUACGGACAUUUAAACGUGUGUUAAUAUGGGUUUGGUUCUUAAAUGAAGUGGUAUGGCAUGAGCUAAUUGUGUACUCACUUUGUCAAGUUGCAGAGCAAUUCUCAAAGCACUUGCAAGGUCUCCAAACUUCAUAUAGAUGGUAUAUGCUAUGUCAAGUGCCAACAUAUCAUCAGGAGCAGGAAGAUAUCUGCACGUUUCACGUUCAGGAACAGAAAAGUGUUAGUUUAAUUUCGCUGAAAUUCAAGUAUAUCUAAGUUCCACAUUCGUUCUGACAUAGAGGGCAAAAGCAAUACCACAGAAAAGCACACAAUAUGUUACAAAGAGAUGCAUGCUUACUUGGAUGAACUAGUAAGGUACAAGCAAGCUCUUUUGUAGUUUGUAGCGUCCACAUGCUCAACUAGCAAAUCAAGGUCUUCAACCUACAAACGAAUGAAAUUUAUGCAUCAGUAUAUUCAUUCGCGAGAAAUAUUGGGGUGUACUCUGAGAAGAACAAGUAAUAUGGAUUGAAGGUACCUCCAUCAGAAGAUCCACAGCCUCAGGUUCAGCAUUAUGCUAAUAAAAAUAACAGAAGAUAAAAAAAGUUAGCACACCUAAAAAUUCAAGAGAAGAGAAUAAACAUUCAACCAUGAACUCUAAUCAGAACAAACCUUCAUGUGAAAGGAAAUAAUUUGCUGCACGAGCUCCAUUAGGGCAUCAAUGGGCAAGUCAUCAUCCUGGAAACAAUGAAAACCACCAUUAGAGCUUUGAAAGCUAGAAAAUGGAACAGAAUAAACAGGGUCCACUACUUAAUUCCACUAUUGCCCAGUAGCAUGAAAAGAAAAAUAAAACAAGAAACAAUAAAGGUUUUGCAGCAAUUUGCAAUGAAAUUUGAUCUUGGUUACCAGGUACGUGGGACUAGAAAUGCUAGAUAAAUGGGGUAGAACACAUAAAAUGAGCCAGGAAGGAAUGAAAUGCAGUUGUUUACCAUGCCAACCUUAUCAAUGAAAACAUGCUGUGACUUUCAACUAUGCAACAAUCAACAGUAGAAGCUCAUGCGAUUCAAAACUCUAAAAUUUCAAUGUGGUAGGAAGUUAAGACAAAAACAACCAAAGAACAAAGUUUUAAACAUUUACAGGGCGUUAAAUAGAAGAAACAGGCACACUAAGUUAUAACAACAUUACAAAAGGAUUCAAGAAUUCUACUAUAGCAUGGAUAUGAGGUCAACCUGACGCUUUUGGAACUCUUGUGCGAUCUCACCGGCCAAAUUCCUGUACAUGAGACACAAAAUGAAGUAAAUCCAAACGAACAGGCAAAAUAGACAUCUCUUGAGAUAUUGAUGAAAUAGUCAACAACAGCAUUUCAGGAUGAUAUGCAAAAAGUUUCCUCUGAAAUAAAGCUAGUAUAAAAAAGGUUCAUGCCUGUCAUAAGUUGAACUGGAUGUGACCAAGUAUGUAAACAGUGUAUAAAGGUUUAUUGAUUUGUUCAUACCUUACGUAUUCAUGACCCCAUGACCCGAUGUCACCUUCAGAGCCCAACAAUCGAUACUUCAGGCUCUCCUGAAAAUAAUGUGUAGGAAAUCACAUUUUCGCAGAUGGGCACAAGGAGUUGCAUGGGAAUAGCUGAAUUUUUUUCCCCAACAAAAAACGAAUAUCUAGUCUACCACAGUGGGGGUGAAUACAGCAGGCACAUACCCUUUCUCCUUCAAGGGACAUUGUCAAAGCUAACACCGACAAAAUGUCCGCCAUGUAUUUCUGGGAAACAGUAAGAUGAGAUCAGCACUGUAUCAAACCAAUCUAAAUCACAACUCACAGCACAACUGGGUGAUCAGCACUUCACACAUACCUUCAGCUCAGAUUCUGGCAUGGUCUCAAAGUAGGACUUGAGGGUUCCAUAGUGUGGGCGGAGAAAUUUCAGCGGCUUCGGAACAGAAGUCAUUGAGCUUGUGGCGGAGCGGAUCUCCUGCCUGCAGAUUAAGUGACAGCAAAAGGAGUUACACAAGCUGUGGGUUUGCACAAAACUACAGCAGCAGCGAUCAAACUCAUCUUAAUUUUGAGCCUACGGCGAAAAGAAAUCAUACGGCAUGCUGAAUUCAAGUAUUCAACCACACAUCGUAAACCUAGAACUAUGAGCCCACACCUAGAACUAUGAGCCCACACCACAAAAACUUUGCUAGGGGAGUGAUGGUAAAUUUUAAACCUAGAACAGUGAGCUCGCACCACACAAACUUUGCUACAGGGGGAAACGCAAACUGAAUCUACCUCAUGCUCUCGAGGGCGAGCUUCUGGACACCAGGAUCUGAGUCCUGCGCUCGCAGGACGUACAGCUCCAGUUGCUCCUUAAGAGCCUGGUCUUCUUCGGACUGCGCCAUCGAACAGAACACGUCAGUCCAAGCCAAACAUCAGAUCGGAUCGAAGCAAAAUAGGGCGAGGUUUUUUAGCGGACAAACCAGAUCGUCCUCUUCUUUCUUCUUCGCCUUCUCCUUCCCUUUAACCGCCGCCGGCGGCGGAGGUUGCGAGUGCUCGGACGGCGCGGCGGGGUUCGGCUGUUCCGGCGCCAUGACGGCUCGGCGGCGGACGGGUGGAACUUCUGGCGAGAAACAGACGCGAAGCAGAGGGGAGGAAACUGAGGAAAGGAAUCGCCUUUAGAUGCGAGGAGGCGCCGCACGCAGGGCGAGUCCUCCCUCCCCCUCUCCGCUCACCGUCACGAGGCCCAGUUCUGAGGCGAAGCCGAACUCUCUCUCUAGUGGGCUCGGCCCAGUUCGGUCAGCCGUCAGCCCAGUUCGGCGACGGUAGCGUGCCGACCUCCAGGUUUUGUGGCCAUCUCCAACACGUUCGUCAAACCAAUUUUGUCCUAUAAAAAAUGUUUGGAAAACUUGGUUCCAUAGCACUGAAGGAUCAUAACUUCUGUAAAAUAUCACUGAACUGAAAGGUUGAAACGUUAACGUGAAUUAGCAUUCUGUUAGAUUUUGGCAGCAGUUCUGUUAACUUGAACAAAAAUACCCCAAACCGUUAUAACCCAUAAGAAACGCAUGCACAUGUGACGAACUGGCAACAUUUAAUCAUAAACAUAUUGUCCAUGGCAGCAUAUGCAUUAAAUAUCGAUCGACAACAUAAGGGCAUCAUUUCAACAUGUUCUGGGUCAAUUUCAUAAAGCAAACAGCAGCAGUCAAGUCUCGCUUCAGCACAGUAGCUGUUCAUACAUCGCUAAUUCAGCACAACAAAUAGUUCGACGUGGUCUACUUAAGGAUCACACUAGCACACACAACACAAAAUGAGCUUUUACAACCAGCCUAGUUUAUAAUCAGCCUCCUAGCAAUUCCUCCUGGUGAGAUGUCAAGUUGAGUUGCCAUUCUUCUUGUAGGCCCUGGACUUAGUGGUGUAUUUGGUGGUCUUGUUGGAGUAGAAGUAGAAGAUGACAUCCGUCUUGUAAUUACUCCUGGACUAACUGGUGCUUAAGCAACUAAGGCAGUUGAGGUGCUUGCUGCACCAGCCUUGGAGUUUUCAGAAGUUUUCUUGGAUUUUGAAGUACCAGCCUCUCCUUCCCUCUUCCUACACAGCAGCAAUUUAAUCAAGCCAUUAUGCAGCAAAAAUGUUGGUGAAACAAAGCAUAGUAAUAAAAUGACAGGAGCUUAAUUUACCUAGAUUUGGAAGGAAAUGAAGGUGGUAAUUCAACCUAGAUUUGGAAGGAAGUGAAGGUGGUAAUUCAACACCAAGUUCAGUUGGGGGCUCACGGCAUCCCUUCUCAAUAUGUCCAAAUUGGAAGCAUCUUUUGCAUUGGUAAGGGCCCCUUUUUUCCUGGCUCACCUCUACUCUUGAUCCUUUUGACUCUUGGCCUACCUGUAGAUCUUUCUAGCUUUGGAGGCAACAUCUCAAACCUAGUAUCAAUUUCACGCCAUUCUGACUUGUCAACCAUCGGGUUGACUUCAAAUUGAUAAGCAGCCUUGAAAUGCUCAAGUGAGUAGUACUAAUGCAUAUAGUCCUCUAGUUUAACUUGUCUCAAUGAAAAUAUGAAACAAACAGCAUGGGUGUAAGGUUUACCAGAAAUUUGCCUCUGACCAUAUGAGCAUGUUCUCAAUUCAAGGUCCACAACUUGCCUCCAAGAAUAGUUGUCUUUAGUCAAUCCAGAUAUCUCAGCCUUAAGUCCACCGCUCCCCUUGAUCGUGUACUUCAAGUUUCUCAUCUUCAGCUCAUUGAUCACACUAUCAAGAAUUGGCCCUUCAAGUCUAUUAGCGAUGUGCUACCUCAUCGCUAUCUUUUCCAUGAUCACCCCCCUAAUCGUGUCCACGAGGGCAUCCACAAGCAAACCUUUUGUUGGGGGAAAUAUUAACGACCUCCUAAUGUCCAUUAAAACAACAAUCAUGAAGGUCCAGGCCCACCUGAGGUAAUGAAGACUGCCGUCGGCCCAACACGGGAGAGGGGAGAGCCCCGCUCCCGUUCUCCCCCCGCUCCCGUGGGUCGGGCGAGGCGGAGCAUGGCUCCCCCCCCCCUCCCGUGUUGGGCCGACGGCAGUUUUGAUUACCUAGUCCUAAAUUGUAGGUCAUUUUAAAUAUAAGUGUAUAUCUAGAGAAAAAUCAAGACGACCUACAAUUUGAAACGGAGGGAAUAUUAUUUCCUUAAAUAUUAUUUAUUGCACGACUAAUGUAUUUUUCCAUUUCAAAUUGCCGAAUGUUACUAGAUGCAUUAUUGUGCUGGCGGCAACACGCGGGGUUUUUGACUAGUUAUAUAUAGCUGGCGCCAUCGAUCUCUACUUCACACCAAGAAGCCAAAAAGAGAAUCACGGUGCUCGAUCUCGCCUCCCCUCCACCGUCAAGAAAACCACAGGUCGUCUCCACCAUCUGCGAAGGACAAUGCGCGGCAGCGAGACCAACGCUACGGCGGCGGCGCCGCACGUCGUGUUGCUCUCGUCCCCGGGCAUGGGCCACGUCGCGCCGCUGGCCGAGCUGGCGCGCCGGCUGCACGACGCGCACGGGUUCACCGCCACCGUGCUCACCUACGCCAGCUCCGACUCCGCCGCGCAGCGCGCCUUCCUCGCGUCCCUGCCGCUGGCCGUCGGCUCCGCGUCACUCCCGGCCGUCACGCUCGGCGACAUCCCCACCGGCGCCGCCAUCGAGACGCUCCUCUCCGUCGAGGCCCAGCGCUCCGUCCUGGCGCUCACCGAGGUGCUCUCGGGCCUCAGGUCCACGACCAACCUUGUCGCCUUCGUCGCCGACCUCUUCGGUGCCGACACGCUCCGCGCGGCGCGCGACGCCGGCGUGCCCGGGUACCUCUUCUUCCCGUCUAACCUCCUGAUGCUCUCGCUCAUGCUCCACCUCCCGCGCCUCGACGCCGACCUCGCCGCCGGCGAGUUUCGCGACCAGCCCGAGCCCCUCCGCCUCCCCGGCUGCGUGCCCGUCCCCGGCGCCGACCUCCUGCAGCCGCUCCAGGACCGCGCCAGCGACGCGUACCGCUGGAUGGUCCACCAUGGCGAGCGGUACCGCGACGCCGCCGGCAUCCUGGUGAACACCUUCGACGCCGUCGAGCCUGGCGCCGCCGCCGUGCUCCGCCGGCCUGAGCCCUGGCGCCCGCCAGUGUACCCGGUCGGGCCCGUCAUCCGGCAGCACGCCGCGGGCAGCAGCCCCGCCGCCGACACCACCGGCUGCAUGGACUGGCUCGACGCGCAGCCGGAGAGGUCCGUGCUGUUCGUGUCAUUCGGCAGCGGCGGCGCGCUGUCGACGGCGCAGACGGAGGAGCUCGCACGGGGCCUGGAGCUCUCCGGCCACCGGUUCCUUUGGGUGGUUCGGAGCCCCACCGACGGCGGCGGGGCCAACCCCGGCGAGAGCUACUACGACGGCUCCCGGAGCAAGGACGACCCCCUGAGCUUCCUCCCACCCGGGUUCGUGGAGAGGACCAAGGGCCUCGGCCACGUGAUCCCCUCGUGGGCCCCGCAGACCAGGGUCCUCGGCCACCGCGCCACGAGGGCUAUGCUGACGCACUGCGGGUGGAACUCGGUGCUGGAGAGCGUCGCCGCCGGGGUGCCGAUGAUCGCGUGGCCGCUGUACGCCGAGCAGAGGGAGAACACCGUGAUGCUCUGCGAGGAGACCAUGGUGGCGCUGAGGCCUAAGGUUGGGGACGAUGGCUUGGUCCUCGCCGAAGAUGCCGCGGAGGUGGUGAAGGAGAUGAUGGGAGGCGGCGAGAAGGGUGAGGCGGCGUGUGUAAAGGUGAUGGAGCUCAAGGCGGCGGCGAGGAGCGGGCUCGAGCCCGGUGGCGCGUCUUACGAGACACUCGCUGAAGUUGUGAACAAGUGGAAGGCAGCUAGUGAAGCUGAUUAACGCUGAAUGUUCAUUGUGUACAAAAAUCUGAAGCAUGGCGAUUCUUCUCUCUGUCAGAGAAAGAAUUUGCAAGCAAAAUGGUACUCGUGUGUACCUCAGUGCCUGUACUCUUGGUCCAGUCAGCUACACUUUCAUGAUCGUAAUCAUGUCUUGUAAAUUCCUGGCGAUCGAAUGGUUCCCGUGUGUUUUUUGUUAUGAUUUGUCAAGAAACUUGAAGCUUGUGUUCUUUCAUCGUUUCAUGGGAAACUCAGUGCCAUUAGUAUAGUACCUACAGCAGUUCCAUGGUCCACUCCUGCAACGGCUGUGCACAUCGGCGGUUUGCGUACGAUGCUCCGCAGAGUCGUACAAAUCUGGAUUGAUUCCAAUUUGUUUACAUUUUCAAGCCAGCAAAAAACAAUGCAACCCAUCCCCCCCUAUGUUUGAUGUAGUGCCAACAGCCCAACACCAAUUUGUUCCUAGUAGUUUACUAAGCCCUCUCAUGGCAGUUGAGAUGCUCGUGCACCAUCGUGCCGCUUAGACAAUGCGCCCUUCCCCUCGUGAUCACAAGUUCAGCCACUGCAAGUUGGUUUUACGCAACUAUUUUCCGAUGGAACCGAUUGAUUCCCCAGCUGGCUGGCCAGCCAACCAACGCAUGGGGCGUGUCUGCGUAACCAUCAGCAUGGCGCAUAUGAAAAUAAUGUAUGCGGCACUUUACCCAUGGAUAAAAAUAAUCCAACCAUCGAGCGUCGCUUUUUCAAGGGGGAGGAAUCAGCAAGAGGAUAGCACCAAGGUUAUCACAUCCAUCACAUCUAAGAACAUAAUCAAAACCCUGUAACGGCGUUAGAAACAGCAAAUAGGCAGUUGAUUUACGCACAGAAAAGCAAGAGCACAGGACAGGCAUGGUAGCUUAACAAUGAAGGUAAAAUAAUACUCCAGCAGUGUCUCAGCGCCCAGCUAUCCCAGGCUGCGGCACAACUCUACACGCUACAAAAUUUUUCACAAACGUUGCAUAGAAGGAAAAGCUUAGAAAACCAUCCUUAGCCACAAUUCAAAUAGUAGAACUCAUUACCACUCCUCCAGAACAUAGAGAAGUUGGCGAUACUUUUUAACUAAAACAGACUUCUUUAUCCAGCACCUUAGCAGACACCUAGGACACAA